Molecule: long non-coding RNA, 4461 nt
Filed under: Mus musculus (house mouse)
Lineage: Eukaryota; Metazoa; Chordata; Mammalia; Rodentia; Muridae
Description: long non-coding RNA chr2:49025314-49029775
Source: RNAcentral
GUUGUGUUGUGUCUUCAGCAAUAGGGCUUGCUUGCAUGCUGUAGCAAACAGGCAAGAGCACUGGCAAGAACCUAUAUUUUUCAAGACUCACUUAAACCUUAUAGCCAACAAUUUGCAGCUUGUUGUUGUAGUUGUUGUUGUUGUUGUAGUUGUUAGAUAGUCUAUGACUCUAGAAGGAAGCAGUAUCCCACUGUGUGGAAUAACUCCUAAAAUUGUAUAUGUGUGUGUAUCUGUGUGUGUGCAUGUGUGUGUUUGUAAAUGUAUAUAUGUUUUUAAAUAUGCUUAUCAAAUAAUAGGUUUGCAAUGGCUUUUCUAGAAUUCCUUAGUGUUAUCCCUUUUCCUCUGUAUUAACCCUUCCCCAGUUAGGUCCCCCACCCCAUCAUUCCCUUUUCUCCUUUAUAGCACCUUUGUCCUAUGAGACUCUUCUUGUGCUUGUUCUACCCUUCACCUAAUGGUUCCUUUUUACCAUCCUGGAUUCUAGGAGUACUCAGAUGGAGUGGUUUGAUUGAGAAUGGCCUCAUACACCAUGUAUUUGAAUGCUUGGUCCCUAGUUUACGGAUUGUAUGGGAAGCAUUAGGAGAUGCAGUUUUCUUGGAGAAGGUGCUUCACUGGAGGCAGGCUUUGAGGUUUCAAAUGUCCAUGCCAUUCCCAGUUUGCUCUCUUUCUCUCUGCCUCCUCCUUGCAGAUCCGUAUGUAAGCUCUCAGCUACUGCUCCAGUGCUAUACCUGCCUGCCUGCUACCAUGCUCCCUUAUCAUGGUGGUCAUGGACGAUAACUUGCUGAAACUGUAAGCCCUAAUAAACUCUUUGUAUGUUGUUGCCUUAGUCAUUGUAUCUUUUCACAACAAUAGAAAAGUAACUAGGACAGCAAGGUUACAUUGAAACCUAAAGGUUCAUAUUUUGAAUUUAUACAUAAUAGAGAAUGUGACAUAUGUUCUUCUGGGUCAUAGUUUAUGUUAUAUGUAUAUUUUCUGAUUCUCCUUGUUUUCCAAAAAGUUUUAUGAUAUCAUUUUCUUUAAAGCUAAAUACAAUUCUUUUGUGAUUAUGUACUUCAUUUUCAUUGUCUGCAAGUUCAUUACUUGGCGAACAUUUAAUAUGCUUACCUUCAUUACAUACAUAUUGUGAGUAGAGCAGAAAUAAAUAUGACCAAGCAAGUAUCUCAAUAGUAGGAUAUCAUGUCCUUUGGACUUAUGCCAAAGAAUGAAAUAGUUCUGUCAUAUAUUUAUUAUAGUAACAUAUAAUAGUAUUUUCAUUUAUUGUGCUUUGAGACUCAUUGAGAUUGUUGGAUGUUUGAAUUCAAGAAUUUUUUUUUAAAGGAUAUGAAGAUGUUGCCAUUGUUGUCUGCUUCGCUCUUGUCCUUGAAUUCUCAUUCAGGCAUAUGCAAGGUCUCUUCAUAUUCUUUUACAUGGGUUUUAGUUCAAAAGACUUAUUUGGUGUGGUCUAUUAUGCCUUCAGGUAUGGUUCUCUUACUAACUUUCAGCUGUACUAUGGAUUUUGUUCUUUUGCUUUAAGGUUCAUCCUCUGUGAUUGUAGAGUGGUGAUUUUCAUGUUAAAGGUCAUGUUCUUAUAGAGUAUUAGGACUAAUGUUGAAACAUACUAUUCAUCCUAUAUGUAUAAAGUGUAAUCACCAAUGCUAACAUCUUAGGCAUAGACUUGUCAAAUUUUAUUAUUAUAUACAUAAUGUUCUAUAUUUUAUAAACAUUUAUUUUAUACUGGAUUGUGCAUCUUUCUUUGAACUUGAUAUUUGAAAAUAUUUUGAUAUUUGUAAUUAAAGUAGAAUUUUGAAAAGAAUGUAUUUUCUUAAAAUGCUCAAGAACAAGUAUUAUAAAAUUCUAUUAAUAUAGGACCACUUUGAAUACUUAGCCUAAGCCUUUGUAGCCUGAAGAAGCAAGGGAAGGUUCAGGUUGCAGAUUUCAGCAAGAAAAAUUAGUAUUAUAGCUUUUAAAAGAUAUUUUUUUUCCCUAUACAAGCCCUAAGUUUUACAAGCAAUUUCCCAUGGGGAAAUACCCAAACUAGGAGUAGGGGAACUGCCACUAAGCACAGUGCUUAGUCUAUGGAAACCUACUGUUAGAAGUUACCUUUUGACUCAGGUACUUUUGAGCAGAUUACUUGAUCUAUCCAUUGACCAUUGCAAUGGAGCUAUUUAAAGAUUGCUUGUCAUGAUUAAUUAAUAUCUUUGAAGCACUAAGAAUACAAUAAACUGUAUGUGUUCAGCAUUCUCGUUAUCACUUUAUGUGGUUAUGCUUAUUACAUUAAGUGGGUAAUGCUUUCUGGGUUCAGCACUGUAGAUGGUCUACUUUUAGAUAACUCAAUUUUCAGGCUUUGGAUUUAGCAAAUAUUUCAUGUUGUUUAAAAUUUAAAAAGCCUUAAAAUUUUUGACUUAGCAUCAAGUGUUACAGGCUUUAUUAUCUCAUAUGUAUUAUUCUAACCUUUCUUGGUGGCUAAUCCGUAAGUUUAUACAUAAUGUUUUCAUAGUUUAUCUGGUAUUUUAGUAAUUCUUCAGUUGUACUCAUUUUACAGGAAAUAUAAACACAUUAUUCCUUAGGAAAGGCUAAAUCUCAAAUUGAUCCUGAAAUUUUGCCAGAAUAGGUGGACAAAAACACAAGUAUAUGUGUCCUGAACAUAUCUGUCAUAGGCAAACAUACUACAUUUAAUUGUAAUGCUAAUGCAGUAUUCUAGCAAAUGUUAAUUUAACAUGUAUUUUUUUCCUUCUCUUUAAAGAUUUAUUGGGAUUUUUUGCCCUUGUCUUAAAUCUGUUCCCAUUUCAUUUUUUUUAAAAGAAAAUACACAAAACAAUAACCACAAUAUCAAAGUUUCACAGGGUUAAUCCAAAGGAGGAAAAGAGCCCAAGACAAAGCACAACAAUCAGACUCACUUGUUCACACACUCAGGAGUCACAUAAAAGUACUAAACUGAAAGCCAUAAUAUAUACACAGACCAACUUAGGCCCUGUGCUAACUGGUUCAGUAUCCAUGAGUUUGCUGUCUUCUCCUGAUGUCCCCUCUGACUCCCAUCCUCCUUCCACCUUCUCUUCCUCAAGGGUCUGUUAGCUCUGAGGGGGGAGAAUUGAUGGAGACAUCACAUUUAGAUCUGUGUGUUCCAAGGUCAGUCAGUUGGUCUGUACUCCUCCAUCACUGCUCUGACUCCCCCUCCCUGUAUGUCUGGGGAGGGGGUACACACGUGCGUGUGCAUUUAUGUGUGCAUGUGUGUAAAAUGUGGUGGGUCUCAAUAUUUUUUCCCAUCUGCUUCGAGGGAAAUCCUCAGAGAAUGGUUCAAUUAAACACAGAUCUAUGAGUAUAGCAGAAUAUCGUUUGGUUUCAUUUUUAUUGUUAACUUAAUUAAAAAAGACCAGUACUAUGGGGGUUUAUCCUAGGUCUCUAGUCUAUCUAGUCUUUGGUUUUCGGUCAUUCAGGCAGUGCAGGGUGUCAGUUCUGUCUCAUGUAGUGUAGCUUAUGUCAAAUGAAAUUGGUGGGCUGCUCCCACAAGCUUCAUGCCACCAUUACUCUAGCAUAUUUUCUAGUUAGUGCAGAUUGUAGAUCAAAGGGUAUAUGGCUAGGUUGGUUUUUAUGAUUCUCUGUUGGUAGCCUUCAGAAUACCUUCCCUGUACCAGAAGCACUAGAACACAGGCGCAAAGGUUCUUAUGGGCACCAGCUGUACCUCUCCGUAGUCAGUGAUUUAUGUGAGUGUUGUCUUCAACAAUGGGUGCUUGCUGUCAGUUUGUAGACAACAGCCUAUUGCCUUGCCAACAACCUAAGUUGUUCGGGACUUUGUGUGGGGCCCCUUUGGCCAACAACUUAGUUGGAUAUAACCCAGUCUUGGCACUGGAAGCUUCACUUGGUAACAAGGCAUGGUCAAAUAGGGCUCCAUCUACGUCAUUAUUGGAAACUUCAUCAGGAUUGCCAUCAUAUAUUUUAGGAAAUUUCUGCUACGCUGGUUUUCCCUACCCACAUUCAGUUCUACCUGCCUCUUCCCAUAUUCCUUUCCUCAACCCCAUGUUUAAUUUGCGUUCCCUGAUGGCUAAGGAUGAAUGUGUUUUCUCAGCAUUUGAGUUUCCUCGGUUAAGAAUUCUGUUUAGAUCUAUGCUGUAUUUUUUUUUAUUGAAUUAUUUGGGAUUUCUUAAAUUUUUUAAAAAUAUUUUAGACAUUAGUCCUCUUAGACGUGGUUGGCUUAAAAACACAAAUCCUAUUUCUUAGGCGUCCCCUUUGUCUGAAAGACAGUGUCCCUUUCUAACAAAAGUGUUUCAUUUUCAUGAGGUUCCACUUAAUAAUUGCUGAUCUUAGGUCCUGUGCUAAUGGUGUUCUGUUCAGAAAGUCUUAUCCUGUGACAGUGAGUUCAAGGUUAUCCCCCACUUUCUCUUCUAUCAUGUUCAGUUUAUCUGGUUUAAUGUUGAGGCCUAUUUGGAAUUGAGUUUUGUGCAGGGUAAAGAAUGUGGAUAUAUUUACAUUCUUCUACAUGCAGACAUC